CCCCUGUCUCGUCUUUCCUCCAAGCUAUACAUGUUAAGAUCCUUUAACCUUUCCUGGUAAGUUUUAUCCCGCAAUCCAUGAACCAGUUUAGUAGCCCUUCUCUGAACCCUCUAAGGUAUCAAUAUCCUUCUGAAGAUACGGUCUCCAGUACUGUGUACAAUACUCCAAGUGAGGUCUCACCAGUGUUCUGUACAAUGGCAUGAGC
Pelobates cultripes (western spadefoot toad) is the source of this 205-nucleotide non-coding RNA. Lineage: Eukaryota; Metazoa; Chordata; Amphibia; Anura; Pelobatidae. The record is from the annotation of a GenBank genome assembly.